RNAcentral lists this long non-coding RNA (316 nucleotides) under Equus caballus (horse). Its description in RNAcentral is "lncRNA (ENSECAG00000059487.1)". The record is from RNAcentral. Lineage: Eukaryota; Metazoa; Chordata; Mammalia; Perissodactyla; Equidae.
CUGGAAGGAUGCUUGUCAAACUGCUGCCAGAGGCAGGUCAUGGGCAUUCUCACUUUAUUCUGUAAACUCUGUGUACAGCAUAACGGCUCAGUAUUUGUACAUGCUGUGACAUGCUCACCGCAGGAAGUCUGGUUGACAUCCAUCACCACUCAUAGGUAUACAUGUUUCUUUCUUGUGAUGAGGACUUUUCAGAUCCACUCUCAGCAACCUUCAAAUACACAACAAACUACAGUCACCAUGCUGUACGUUGCGUCCCCAGGACUUAUUUAUGUUAACUGGAAGUUUGUGUCUUUUGACUCCCUUCACUCAUUUCGCC